AUUGAACGCUGGCGGCAUGCUUUACACAUGCAAGUCGAACGGCAGCGCGGGCUUCGGCCUGGCGGCGAGUGGCGAACGGGUGAGUAAUGCAUCGGAACGUGCCCAGUAGUGGGGGAUAGCCCGGCGAAAGCCGGAUUAAUACCGCAUACGACCUGAGGGUGAAAGCGGGGGACCGAAAGGCCUCGCGCUAUUGGAGCGGCCGAUGUCGGAUUAGCUAGUUGGUGGGGUAAAGGCUUACCAAGGCGACGAUCCGUAGCUGGUCUGAGGGACGACCAGCCACACUGGGACUGAGACACGGCCCAGACUCCUACGGGAGGCAGCAGUGGGGAAUUUUGGACAAUGGGGGCAACCCUGAUCCAGCCAUGCCGCGUGCGGGAAGAAGGCCUUCGGGUUGUAAACCGCUUUUGUUCGGGAAGAAAUCCUCUGGGCUAAUACCCCGGGGGGAUGACGGUACCGGAAGAAUAAGCACCGGCUAACUACGUG
RNAcentral lists this ribosomal RNA (483 nucleotides) under uncultured bacterium. Its description in RNAcentral is "partial 16S ribosomal RNA". It matches the Rfam family "Bacterial small subunit ribosomal RNA", at positions 28 to 507 of the family's 1533-position model. The record is from RNAcentral.